CAGUAGCCGCGGUAAUACGAGGGGGGCAAGCGUUGUUCGGAAUUAUUGGGCGUAAAGGGCGCGUAGGUGGUUUGGCAAGUUUGGUGUGAAAUCUUCGGGCUCAACUCGAAGUCUGCAUCGAAAACUGCCGGGCUUGAGUAUGGGAGAGGUGAGUGGAAUUUCCGGUGUAGCGGUGAAAUGCGUAGGUAUCGGAAGGAACACCUGUGGCGAAAGCGGCUCACUGGACCAUUACUGACGCUGAGGCGCGAAAGCUAGGGGAGCAAACAGGAUUAGAUACCCCCGUAGUCCCUGUCUCUUAUAC
RNAcentral lists this ribosomal RNA (301 nucleotides) under uncultured bacterium. RNAcentral's name for it is "partial 16S ribosomal RNA". It matches the Rfam family "Bacterial small subunit ribosomal RNA", at positions 509 to 807 of the family's 1533-position model. The record is from RNAcentral.